GUGUUGGAUGAAAGGAGCGAAGGUGAGCACUCCCUUCGACAGGGAUGGACAGAUGAGGCCCUUGGGCCUGACAACAGGCAUGGCUAGGCAUCACCACGUGCUUUGUGGCAUCUAACCAUGGUUUUUA
Molecule: small nuclear RNA, 127 nt
Organism: Myotis lucifugus (little brown bat)
Lineage: Eukaryota; Metazoa; Chordata; Mammalia; Chiroptera; Vespertilionidae
Source: Ensembl